GGGGCGAACAAUAAGAAAGAAAAAUGUUGAGUUACGUUCAACCUGGAAGAUCAUCCUUGUUGCUUCCUUUGUCCUUCACUAUCUUAGCGUUAUGCUUUAUCGUCUUCCUGUUGAAACGGUAUCCACUUAGGAGCAAGAAAACCCUACCACCUUGUCCACCUGGGCUUCCAAUUAUCGGAAACCUCCACCAAAUUGGCUUGUACCCUCAUCGCUCUCUUCGAUCCUUAGCUCAGACCCAUGGCGACAUCAUGUUGCUUCACUUGGGUAGCGUUCCAGUGCUUGUUAUCUCAUCAGCUGAAAUGGCCCGCGACGUCUUGAAAACCCAUGAUCUUGUGUUUGCAGACAGACCUAAAUCAAGAAUGAAUGGGAAACUUCUCUAUGACCAAAGAGAUGUGGCUGCGGCUCCUUAUGGUGAGUACUGGAGACAGAUGAAAAGCUUAUGUGUUCUGCAUCUACUAAGUACUAAAAGGGUACAAUCGUUUAGGGAUUUGAGGGAAGAAGAGACGGCUUAUAUGAUUGAGAGGGUCAAAAAGUCUUGUUCUUCUUCACCAAUCAAUUUAAGUGAGGUCUUUGCAAGGCUUACCAAUGAUGUAGUUUGCAGAUCAGCUCUAGGGAGGAAAUAUAAUGCAGCGGAAGGAGGGACAAAGUUCAAGGAACUACUGGGGGAGUUUGGAGAAUUGUUGGGUUGUUUCGAUGUUGGGGAUUAUAUAUCAUGGCUUGGUUGGAUAAAUCAUGUGAAUGGGUUGUACGCUAGAGCAGAGAAAGUGGCUAAAGAGUUUGAUGAUUUCCUAGAAAGAGUAGUUCAAGAACAUAUUACUGGUAGUGAUGAUGGCCGACACGAAAACAAUAGUAAGGACUUCGUGGACGUUUUGCUUUGGAUUCAGAAGGAAAACAACGCUGGCUUUCCCAUUGAUGCAGCUAGCAUCAAGGCUAUCAUCUUGGAUGUAUUUGCAGGAGGAACAGACACUGCAUACACAGUCCUGGAAUGGACAAUGACAGAACUCCUAAGGCACCCAGAAGUGAUGAAGAAACUCCAGAAUGAAAUUAGAAAAAUCACCAGCAACGAAUCAUCAGUAAUAACAGAGAGCGAUCUGAAUAAACUUCCUUACUUAAGAGCAGUAAUCAAGGAAACUCUACGUCUUCAUCCUCCAAUCCCAUUGCUAGUUCCCCGAAUGUCAACUCAAGAUGUCAAAUUAAAAGGAUUCGAUAUUGCAGCAGGAACCCGAGUGAUUAUCAAUGCUUGGGCAAUAGGAAGAGACCCUGCAUUGUGGGAUCGAGCUGACGAGUUUUGGCCAGAGAGGUUCUUGAACAACAGUAUAGAUUUCAAAGGACAUCACUUCGAAUUGAUACCAUUUGGGACUGGCAGGAGGAUUUGUCCCGGCGUUCAAUUUGCGACGAGCAUAGAUGAGCUUGCAUUAGCAAAUAUACUGCACAAGUUUGAUUGGGCAUUAACAGGAAAGAAGUUGGACGACACCGAAAGCACCGGCAUCACCAUACACAGAAAAUUCCCUCUUCUUGCAGUGGCAACUCCAUAUUCGCAGUAAUGCUCUCUCUGUGAAUCUGUAUAAGUUUGCUUUAUUAUUUCAUCUUCUUUUUUUCAUAGACUAAUAACUGGUUUAGUUUCGCAACGUGCCUAUCUGAUUUUCCUUUUUUAUAUAUAUAUAUUAUUUUCCAGUAAAAUUCAUUGGA
RNAcentral lists this unclassified non-coding RNA (1689 nucleotides) under Hevea brasiliensis (rubber tree). The record is from RNAcentral. Lineage: Eukaryota; Viridiplantae; Streptophyta; Magnoliopsida; Malpighiales; Euphorbiaceae.